GGAGGAGGGGGCUUGGAAAUCUGUAAAAAUCAGCAAGCAAACAUGAAGAAAACUAAGUGACCAUUAAGAGAGAUAAGAGAAAUAAGUCCUGCAAUCCAUCCCAAUUGGGCAGUGGCCCAUUCAAGAGAUAGCACUCCUGAACACAAAUAAAGAUUAAAAAAAAUAAAGAAAUUAAAAUAAAGAUAAAGAAAAUAAAUAAAGAUAAAGAAAAUAAACCCAACACAAAUAUUGAGCAGUGGC
Molecule: unclassified non-coding RNA, 240 nt
Filed under: Hevea brasiliensis (rubber tree)
Lineage: Eukaryota; Viridiplantae; Streptophyta; Magnoliopsida; Malpighiales; Euphorbiaceae
Source: RNAcentral